GUAGGGUGCGAGCGUUAAUCGGAAUUACUGGGCGUAAAGCGUGCGCAGGCGGCGGCACAAGUCAGGUGUGAAAUCCCCGGGCUUAACCUGGGAAUUGCGCUUGAAACUAGGUCGCUAGAGUGUGGCAGAGGGGGGUGGAAUUCCACGUGUAGCAGUGAAAUGCGUAGAGAUGUGGAGGAACACCGAUGGCGAAGGCAGCCCCCUGGGUCAACACUGACGCUCAGGCACGAAAGCGUGGGGAGCAAACAGGAUUAGAUACCCUGGUAGUCCACGCCCUAAACGAUGUCGACUAGGUGUUGGGGAAGGAGACUUCCUUAGUACCGCAGCUAACGCGUGAAGUCGACCGCCUGGGGAGUACGG
RNAcentral lists this ribosomal RNA (360 nucleotides) under uncultured bacterium. RNAcentral's name for it is "bacterial SSU rRNA". It matches the Rfam family "Bacterial small subunit ribosomal RNA", at positions 527 to 885 of the family's 1533-position model. The record is from RNAcentral.